CACAAUCAUGGGAACUUGGCUGAAUAUUGAGUUUACCUACUUCGAACAAUGGGUAACCUUUUUAGGAUCUUGAGGUAUUCAUUAGAAGUUUAAGUUUUACGUAUUUCAGUAGACUUAAAAUUUGUGGUGCUUUAGUAGCUUAUAGGUAUUUACGUGUUUGAGUGUUUGACAAACUGGCAGUGGAGAACACUUCGGUCAUUGUUUGGGACCCUGGGCUUAUACAUAGACUUUGAUGGAAGGGCUCUUAAUUGAAAUGUUGGGGUUCGUUGGCCCAAGUUCCUGCCAUAAGAUAUUCUGGUCCCUGCAGCUGCUGAAGCCCAGUACAUUCUGCAUCUUCCACCGUACACGUACCCAGACACCCUGGUUUGUUAGGCCAUCCAUGAAGGAGUUAAAGUUACUCAUUGGUGAAUUUUUUAUGCUUGGCUAUUCUUGGUAAAUGGUUUUCUCAUGAAAACUGGCGGAAAAGUGGCAUCUGGUUUAGCUGAUGGUGAUCUAUUGUCAUUCUUUACGGUUUUUUUUUUCCAUUAAUUUGUACAAAAUCUGAUUGACUUUUAGCACUUUUGAUUUUAG
Molecule: long non-coding RNA, 570 nt
Filed under: Coffea arabica (coffee)
Lineage: Eukaryota; Viridiplantae; Streptophyta; Magnoliopsida; Gentianales; Rubiaceae
Description: long non-coding RNA (CARA_LNC007844)
Source: RNAcentral